Long non-coding RNA from Lolium rigidum, 317 nucleotides. RefSeq lists it as uncharacterized. NCBI's taxonomy places the organism in Eukaryota, Viridiplantae, Streptophyta, Magnoliopsida, Poales, Poaceae. The record is from RefSeq and is a predicted model, not a curated record. The transcript is spliced from 2 exons.
CUAAAGAGGAAGCUGUCAAGACAUGAUUAUGGCGCGGGGAAUUUAUAUUGAGGUCUAUAUGGUGCCACGAUAUGGAGACAAUAAGCUAUGCCUGGACCGUCGCUUGAUUGUUCACACAAAGUACAAUUCUUUUUCAAUUCGUCCAUAGCUAUAGGUACAGAAAGCGACUUUGAACUCUGAUCAAUUUAUUCUUUUUACUCUUGAAUCCCAUGUAUGUUUUUAGUGUUUUACAAUGGAUGAUUGAUGAAAAGCUGCAACUAAUGCUUUUUCCGGGUCGUACAAGGAGGGUGGAAUAUAUAAAGGUUUAUUUGCCUGAA